Molecule: ribosomal RNA, 468 nt
Filed under: uncultured bacterium
Lineage: Bacteria
Description: partial 16S ribosomal RNA
Rfam family: Bacterial small subunit ribosomal RNA
Source: RNAcentral
GACGAACGCUGGCGGCGUGCUUAACACAUGCAAGUCGAACGGAAAGGCCCUGCUUUUGUGGGGUGCUCGAGUGGCGAACGGGUGAGUAACACGUGAGUAACCUUCCCUUGACUUUGGGAUAACUUCAGGAAACUGGGGCUAAUACCGGAUAGGAGCUCCUGCUGCAUUGUGGGGGUUGGAAAGUUUCGGCGGUUGGGGAUGGACUCGCGGCUUAUCAGCUUGUUGGUGGGGUAGUGGCUUACCAAGGCUUUGACGGGUAGCCGGCCUGAGAGGGUGACCGGCCACAUUGGGACUGAGAUACGGCACAGACUCCUACGGGAGGCAGCAGUGGGGAAUAUUGCACAAUGGGCGGAAGCCUGAUGCAGCAACGCCGCGUGCGGGAUGACGGCCUUCGGGUUGUAAACCGCUUUCGCCUGUGACGAAGCGUGAGUGACGGUAAUGGGUAAAGAAGCACCGGCUAACUACGUG